UUCGUGCCCACAGCAGAUCGUUCUCCGCCGCCAACCAGCCCUUCGCACGCCCGAUCCACCCCUUCGCCCACGGGGGACGACUCCUGCCCCCUAGGGUUUCCUACGCCACCACCGCCGCCGGGGAACUCCUCGACCAGCCCACCCUCCCGCCGCUCCGCCCCCUUCCCUUCCCAUCGCCGCAGUCGCCCCCUCCAUCUCCUGCCGGAGCCACUCCCCUGCCGCGAACAUCCUGCUCGCGUUGUAUAUGACCGGUACGGCGGCCCUGACGGGGAGCGAGAACCGCCACGGGAACGCGGUGUUGAGCCCCUCGGUGAAGACCUGCGCGGAGAGCAGGAACGCGUGCGGGGCCAUGGCGGCGAUCCCCGGACCGGAGGCCGUCGAGGAUGUACAGCGCCGGGAGCACGGCGCCGACGAGGAACCCACCCACGGUGUGCGAGGGGUCUCUUCCCGUACGUCAAGGCAUCCCGCCUCACGUUUCCUCUUUCGGCAUCACGGGCCGCCGCCGCACUCCCUCCCCCGGCCGCCCCGCGGGCUUCUAUCUCUCCCAGCUCCGCUGCCGCGCCCCGUCUUCCAUCUCUACAUGAAUCACUGCUGUGGAAGCCAUGCCCCACCGCGCCACCCGGCGGCCAUCCGGGAUGAUGGAGUUGAGUCGGCCAGGUCCCUGUUCCCGUCGGCAUCUUCUGCAUCGGGACCCGUGGGGGCAAGCCGCGCCUGCUCAUCUGCGUCGAUGGCGUCGGCGUGGCCUUCCCCUGCCAAGACCGGCGGCUCCUUGGCUGGAUCCUCUCCUCUCCUCUCUUCCACCUCUCGUUGUCGGGUGCUCCUUCCGUCGAUGUCGAGGUCUUAGUCUCGGUGAUUUCUCCUUGUAUGUUCUGUUAAUAUUGGUACCGUGUUCUGAACCUUGCUGCUUUGGAAAGGGUGUGGUUUCAGUUUUGAUGGUUCUGUUCAAUUCAAGGUGAUUCAGUAAUGUUCUGCGUACAAAGUGCUUCCUAUUUUUGCGGUGAAAAACAGUGUGUUGGAGAUAGUUCGGAUAGUCAAAAUUUGGCAGUAUUUUCUUCUUCUUCUUUUGAUCCCGUUUCUUCAUAGUUAGUCAGACUCAAUAAGAAUUAGAGCAAGUUGGAAAGAGGUUUGUUAGGUCGGAACUGAUAUAUUUGCUUUCGCCUAGCAGCCUAUACAUAUCAUUUUAUAUGACGGGGAUUGUGCUAUAUUACCAUGUUAUAAAGGUAGACCUAGGAUAUGUCUUUCUUGAACUGUGUGGACAUGCUCAUGGCGGAGGUGCUCUGUUUGUAUGUUUUUUCAAGUAAAGUGGAGAAACUCCUGAAUUGUGUCUUCAGGAAUCUACCAAUCCUUCUGAUCAUUGUGUUUUUCUGGGCCUGGAGGUCUACGCCAAACCCCAGGGCAGGGUGGUUCGAACACCAGUGCAGUACGGGCUGGGACGGACAUCAUCUUGUCUCUGUCUCUACUAAUUCAAAUUACAUGUAACUUAUUCCCUCAAAAAAAUUACAUGUAAUUUAUUCAGUUCUACAGCAGCCAAGGGCGGGGCAUCGCACCGACGACAGUGACUGCAAUGAGGGCGAGAUGCUGAUGUUCGUGCCGGCGCCGGAGACCGUGACCACAACUCGGGGGCAAGGUGCUGGUGUCAGCGACAUCGCCCGUGUUGGCCCCUUGAGUUUUGGACCUGCCGCGCUCUGGUUCUGGAAGCUGCCAUUCCCAUCGAGCCCCUCCAGCAGCGUUCAGUUUGGAUCUGGGUGCUUCUGGCUGUUCCUGGAGUUGAGGUUCAAGUUAACCAUGGAGAGAAGCCAAGAAGGACGAGAUUGUCAAGUCAGCGAUCGAGGUGCAGACAGACGUGAGAGACAUCUGGAUAGAUUCUUCCUUACUAGAGCCAUACGACCAAAAAAGAUGAUUGGAAAGGCUCUUUCCAAGCAUAAGAUAUAUUAAUAUUGGGGAAGUCUCUCAUAUACUGCUCGAGGUCGGGAAGGUGCGGAGGCUGCUAGAGGAAGUGUUGGAGGCCGAGCGCAGCAGCAAUAAUGAUCUGCUACUGGUGCUGGACCAGGCCAAGAUUGAUGAGUUGAAGGCGAGAACAAACUACUACACUACCCAGCAACUUAUACAGAGAUAUGGUCUUGACCCUACUCAAGCUCGUCCACACCGAUGUCACGGUAGCUGCUUUUGCGAGUCUCUUGUCAUCUUCUUCGCCGCCGGCUCGGUCACCACAUCCGCUUCCCACAGCUACGGACGACGAUAAGGAGGUGGUGGGUGACAUGGGCAAAGAGUGCUUGGAGGUCAAUGUUGCUUGUCUCCGUGUCUGCCUAGAGAAUUUUCUGUUGUUUGAUUUGGUUUUAUAAGUCCAUAUUGCAUGUCUGCAUUGAGAAUCUCAUAAUAUGAUUGUUAUUAUUAUAUGUCUUACAGAAGUGCAUAGUUUCACUAUAUCAUAGUAUUAUAAAUGCAA
Triticum aestivum (bread wheat) is the source of this 2446-nucleotide RNA transcript. RefSeq lists it as uncharacterized. NCBI's taxonomy places the organism in Eukaryota, Viridiplantae, Streptophyta, Magnoliopsida, Poales, Poaceae. The transcript is spliced from 9 exons. The record is from RefSeq and is a predicted model, not a curated record.